Long non-coding RNA from Rhopalosiphum padi (bird cherry-oat aphid), 772 nucleotides. RefSeq lists it as uncharacterized. The transcript has 3 exons. The record is from RefSeq and is a predicted model, not a curated record. NCBI's taxonomy places the organism in Eukaryota, Metazoa, Arthropoda, Insecta, Hemiptera, Aphididae.
AUGGUUCCCCUUGGAAUCACGGGUAUCUUUAUCCGUGCUUGGAAUACAUAGUGUAACACAACAUAGUCCUUUAACUGAUGGACAUAAAUUUGGAACUGCCAAAUUGCUGGAACCGGAAGUGAAGUCGAAAUUACUUUGAUGGUAGAGCUGACACUAUAGGCUUUUUUGCCAGAUCGUCCACCAUUUCCUCAGCUGUUAGAGGCACAUUAUCAAUAUUAGACAAGAAGGCGAUAUUGACAAUAUUCUUAAUGGUGAUCAACUAGUCAACAAUGAGCAACUAAUCAAUAUCAGACAAGAAGAAAUAUUGAAUAAACGACAAUUAUCUGCAAAAUGCUUGUAAAACCAGGCCAAAAAAAUGAUAAAAAAAUCUAAUAGAAAAUUUGAAGAGCUUGAAGUAGGAGUAAAUGUUCGAAAAAUAAAUAUUAAUAAAUAUUAUAUUCUACUGUGUACCUUAUCAUAAUUUAAAACUCGGUUGACUAUUAAUUUUUCAUUGACUACAUAGUCUUAGUCAAUAAAAUCAAUGAUUGGCCAAUUUUAAAAUUAAUGUUUUACUAUUAGAUGGUUUCUAUCAUUGUCUAUCUUAGUUUAGGCAUUCUCUAAAAUAACUAGCCAAUAAUAUCAAUGCCUAUAAAAAACAGGCAGGGUUAACAUAGUCUAGUCAUUUUUAAUAAUGUCUAAUUAUCAUCAUUGACGGUAACAUAUAUAUACUUUAUCUACUUUAUAUGUACUUAUACUUAUAUACUUUUACUAUAAAUCAUUAUAUUAAAUUUAA